CUCGUAGGCGGUUGCGUAAGUCGGAUGUGAAAACUCAGGGCUUAACUCUGAGACGCCAUCCGAUACUGCGCUGACUUGAGUCCGGUAGAGGAGUGUGGAAUUCCUAGUGUAGCGGUGAAAUGCGCAGAUAUUAGGAGGAACACCUAUUGCGAAGGCAGCACUCUGGGCCGGAACUGACGCUGAGGAGCGAAAGCAUGGGUAGCAAAC
RNAcentral lists this ribosomal RNA (207 nucleotides) under uncultured bacterium. RNAcentral describes it as "partial 16S ribosomal RNA". It matches the Rfam family "Bacterial small subunit ribosomal RNA", at positions 568 to 773 of the family's 1533-position model. The record is from RNAcentral.